CUUAUCAAGAGUGGUGGAGGAAACAGGUCCUGUGAAGCCCGGCAACCUGAUAUUGUUUUAAGGUGCCAAAUCCUGCGGUUAUUUCCGGAAGAUGAGG
This 97-nucleotide non-coding RNA is filed under the name uncultured Ruminococcus sp. RNAcentral describes it as "SAM riboswitch (S box leader)". It matches the Rfam family "SAM riboswitch aptamer (S box leader)". Rfam says of the family: The SAM riboswitch is found upstream of a number of genes which code for proteins involved in methionine or cysteine biosynthesis in Gram-positive bacteria. The SAM riboswitch acts at the level of transcription termination control. Lineage: Bacteria; Bacillati; Bacillota; Clostridia; Eubacteriales; Oscillospiraceae. The record is from RNAcentral.